Long non-coding RNA from Dreissena polymorpha, 3482 nucleotides. RefSeq lists it as uncharacterized. The transcript is spliced from 3 exons. Lineage: Eukaryota; Metazoa; Mollusca; Bivalvia; Myida; Dreissenidae. The record is from RefSeq and is a predicted model, not a curated record.
AACAGCUUGAUUGGAGGUUUUAAACGCGUUAUUGGCAAAUAUGAGGAAAAUAAUAAAAGCUAUAAAACAUAUAGUGAUAUUGAAGUUCAUAACCGAGUUUAAUAACAUAUAUUUAUAAUUAAAUGUUUAAAUUAAUACUUUUCGAUAUCGUCCAUCUCACGUUCGUGCCAUUUGUGACGGGUGACAAACAUGAUAAAGCAAAAAUAUGCGAAUGAAUCUGAUUAUACACAGAUACAGUAACAUAUAAAUCCAACCAUGUUUGUCUUUUUCGUUUUUCGAACGAAAGUUUGAUUACAUGUUUUUCUCAGCCACUCGGCUGGCAAUCCAUUUUGCAUUUAAAAGCGAUGUUGUUCCCGCGACACACGUUAAGUGUUUAUUUAUAAUUAGUAUAUGUUGUUCGUCUCUAGAACGUAUUCUUAAUCGUUCAUCGACACACGCAUUUUAUUAAUCCACGCCAAGUAUAUAAUAUCAUUUGUUUACUUGAUUGUUAUUAUCAUUUACGCAGAUAACCAUAUUUUUUCCCGAAUAUCCGCCAUCUUGACAGAAAAGUAGUCAGUAUACGACACGCGCUAAAUCGUGUAUUUCCGACUACAUUCGCCAACCAAUAGUUAAGUCAUAUUGUCGCUCGGCUCGAGACUCAUGGGGGAAUGUCAUUUACUCAUGCGCAACAUUUUUUUUUCUUAGAAACAACAAAAAUCUGUUAACGUCGUCAAGAAUUUUUUAACGAAACACACAUGUAUAUUUAAAAAAACAUCGAAAAGAAAUACAUACAAAUGAAUCGCAAUCGUAAUUACUCGUUAAUAAACGCCAAGUAGUUGGGACGCUGGAAAUAGGAAAAGACACUCGUAAAUUUCCGUUAACGACCUAAGUUUACGAUAUGCCGAAGCGUUAUUUUGAUUGGUCGAUUUUCAAUAAAACAAAUCCUCAAUAGAGGGCGCCAAAUGCGUCGUUCGAUGUUUCUGCUUGAUUUCAUCUGUUUACAAACAAUAAUUGUUAUGUUCUCUUUCAUAUUUUGCCAAGUAUUAAUGGGAAAAUUGCGCCUUUUCGGUGUUACGAAAGAGGGCAAUUCUUUCUUCGAUAAAUGAAGCGGACUAAUACGUUAUUGGAGAUUUCGUUACGGCAAAAUUUCAAGGAAAAGCGGUAAGCGUAUCUUCAUUCAAAAAUCAUAACGACAUAUUUCUUUCUUAACAUUGGUAUCUCAUAUAAACUAAGUGAAAUUACUAUCUACGUGUGUUUAAAGAAGCACGAAUAAUAUAAAUUAUAUGUUGAUUGCCUUUACCAUGUACAUGUGCAUAGAUAAAUGCCGUUCACAAAAUCAUGUAGAGAAUCGCUGGUGAUGGAAGACCCUGAUCUAUAAGUUUCCCACAGCCUGUUCGGUUGCUGCUUCAGAUCUAAUUUAAAUGUUUGCUUUUCCCCAUUUAUAUUAUUUUCCAUAAAUUGCAGGUGAUUGAUGGGGCCUGAUCAGAAACCUUUAUGACAGAUUGAACUUGAAGGGUGAACUUUUAAGAAUACUCGACUCAGAUGACACCAAUAAUCCACCAAACGAAUUCUCUGCACCAGCUGCUUCUCAGGUGAAACAGAAGAGGCUUCACUUCCGACCAGUCCACACACCCAAAUGUCGAAAUGAGACUAUUCAUCUUGAUCAACCAGCGUCAGAGAUCCUCAAGAACAGAUGGACACAAGCAGAAUCAGUGUCCCUUCAGCGCCUGCUUUCCUGGUCUCUUCAAGAUCAGGUUUAGGCACAAGCUGCCAUCCAGGUCCCCCAAGCGGUCAAGGUCCUUCCAAUUGCUACUAUACAGGUCCCACCACCUUAUGCACUCAAGGUCCCUCUAUACUUUGAAUUCCACGUUCCUCUGUCCGCUGCGGUUCAGGUACCUCAAACAGCUGUGAUCUGGUUCUCAACGAGACAUGGCUGCUGAGGGCAUUACCUGCUGCAUGGCCCUUGAACGCCAGGACCAAGGCUUCCUUCUACAGAUCAGAAUGUGAUCCAAUGAAAAAAAUAGCAUUGAAUAUGCAUGACACAAAUUAGCUUUGUAUUACAUGUUUAUCUGCUUUUUGUUCUGGCAAUAAUCUGUCAAUCAAUAGAGUACUUAAAAAGUGGUACAAAUCUUUCCAUUACAUGUGUUAACAUAUUUAUAUCGAACCAACUAAGAACAAAUGUUGCCAUUGUACUCGAAAGUGUAUGUUGAUUUAUGUCUUUCUCAUCAUAUCAAUUUUUGUUAUGUUGAAAAACAUGAUUUGUGGAUUAAAUAUUUUCAGAUGCUUUUGCCAAAAAAUUCCAUUUGCCUCUGGUGGAAGUGGAUGAGAAGAUGUGUGGGAGGCAUUGAGGCGCUUGCUGGCGAUGUACAAAGAUAUUUUAUGUAUAAUGCUAGGAUGUUAUGUAAUAAUAAUAUAUUUUGUUUGCUAUUUAAUUACCUUUGGAUGCUUCAACUAAUUUAUUUUGCACUGAUUAGUACUUAAUGUUUUAUUGUUUUUGUUUAAAAUGUUCAAUAUAACUCUAAUUCGAAAUGCAACAAUGCACUAUUUUGCGUUUUUAUGGCAACAUUUAUCAGAUUGAGAAUUCAGUAUUUUUUUGUUGGUAUUAACCUUUUUAUUUAAUAUGACAUGAAUAUAUUUAGUAACCUGUUAACUCAAGAAAUACAUGUAUAUAUAUGCAAGUGUGUACUUUGUUCUGUUAUAUGAAUGAUGUAUUAUUGCCAUGUCGUUCAUGCUGUAAAAACGUAUAUGUGAGUUUUCGCGUUCAGACAGUAAAGUUUUAAUUCAUGUGUUCCUGUUUUGUUUGAUUAUAUAAUUUUCUUGUAUUGAAAAUAACGUUUUCAGUGAGCUAAAGCAUGCUAAUGUUGGUUUAAAGCGAGUUUUAAAGCAUGUUUUACUGUGCAAAAAUUAAAAAGUCUUGCUUUCAGCUCACUUAAAAACCGAGUUAAGCUUGCUUUUAGCUCACAUAAAAAAAAACACUUUUUAACCACUUAAAACCAACUCUUGAGACAGAAGUUGGUCUAAGCAUGUUAAAAAACCCUCUAAAAACCAACUUGUAGAAAAUAAUACUCACUUUAAACCCACUUCAGUUGGUUAGAAAACCCACUAUGUUGGUUUUAAGCGAGUUAAACCAAGAUUUAACUUAGAAAAAAAAACAAGUCGGUAAGCUAAAAAACCAAGUCGGUAAGCUAAAAGCGUGUCUGAAAAACUCGCUUUUAGCACUGUGCCAAUAUCGCAGGGAUUAACACAGUUGAAGAAAACUCACUUUUAACCAACUUCAGAUGAUUAAAAAACCCACUAUGUUGGCUUAAAGCGAGUCAAACCAAGAUUUAACUUAGAAUAAACCAUGUCGGUAAGCUAAAAAACCAAGUCGGUAAGCUAAAAGUGUGUCUAAAAAACUCGCUUUUAGCUCGAUGCCAAUACCGCAGGGUUUAACACGGUUUAAAACUGAGUUAAAACCGGAUUUUGAUAAAUUUUUUGACAAGGGAACGGUCGUUUAAAUUUUC